This is a long non-coding RNA of Brachypodium distachyon (stiff brome), 1939 nucleotides long. RefSeq lists it as uncharacterized. Lineage: Eukaryota; Viridiplantae; Streptophyta; Magnoliopsida; Poales; Poaceae. The transcript is spliced from 2 exons. The record is from RefSeq and is a predicted model, not a curated record.
UAGAAUUACUCUUUCCUCUCAGUGCACAACGCCCACCCACCAAGCCCCCAAUCUCUCUCUCGCUUGCCCCGUGGGUAGGGUUUGAAUCCCUGUCGCCACCAGCCUCCCCCUCUUUGCGUCCAACAGCGGCGGCGCUGCUGCCCACGGGCCUCGGCCUUUCUUCCGCUGUAUGCCGCUGCUCCCGGUGAUCCCGCUGCCUGCCGCCGGUGGCUGCCGCUCGCUUCACUUGCACGAUUAUCCACCGCCGGUCGCCUCUCCCCUAGGUCGCGUCGCCGUAUACGCUGUUCUGGCCUCCUCAACUCAAGCCCGAGGUCAGCCGGCCUACUAUGACCUUGCCUCCCCACGCGCGCGUCACCGCCAACAGCUAGCCGCCUCCAUGCUGCAACCGACAAGAUGACCCGGCAGCCCAAGCGGAAGCUUCCGGCCUCUCCGGCGAGGUCCGACUCUUCGCUUCCGGCCUCCACAGCGUGAUUUGCCUUGAGUAACUGCGGGAGUUAUCCAUUGAUGAGGUGAAGAGGGAACUCUCGCAGAUUGGACCGAAGACGGAGGACGAAAGCUAGCGACUAAGUAGUUCAGAUGGGAGUGCUUGGUCACCGACAGUGGUCAAAGGGAAUGCAGUUUAGUUUAUGCGUUGGGUUUGUCCUGUCUAUUUUAGUACUCCCUCCGUCCGGAAUUACUUGAUGAAAUAUUACAUGUAUCUAGACGUUUUUUACACAUAGAUACAUUCGUUUUUGGGCAAAUUUGAGACAAGUAAUACCAGCCGGAGGGAGUAGUAUACUUACUAAUGUGAACUCAAGCUUUUAAUUAAAGACUGCAAAUAUGCCACAAAGUGUAGUUUCGGUGCUGUGAAGUAUCAAAAACUCAAGCUAUUCUGCCUCGUAUUGUGAUUGAAAUUGUUGCACUUUUUUUCCUAAAAAAUUAAAUUGUUGCAUUUUAGUCCACAGCGUAGCUCAUUCCCAAUGUGAACCUAUUAGAUAUUGGAUAAUUCCAGCAUUAUGGGCCAUUAUCAGAUAAUUAUCAUUAUCAAUACAUAAUUACCCCUUAUUAAGUUGCUCUAAGAUCGAAGCAGCCCUCUUUUAGUUGUUUGAAAUUUCCUUGGUACAAUUUAGGGUUGUAACCUCAAAAUUUUAGAUAACUAGAGCUAUGGCAAGGUUGUUGGAUGGAUCAUUUUGUUUUUAUAUGCUCAAAAUUGGAUCAUGUUUGGACACUGUAAAUCUCCACUGGCAAACAUUUGCUUUAACAUUACUAGGUAUAGUAACUAUAGAUUUUUGCGGUCACCUAACAACUUUGAGUUACGAUUAUACCCUAAUGUUACUUAUGAUCAAUGGGAGACAUUCAUUUGAUGGCAAUGUUUUAAGAUGCUCAGAUUGUGAUCAGAUGCGGCAGAUUCUCUUGGCUUUGGUAACAAAGAUUUUUAGUGCAUUGACAUCAUUCCCAAGUACCGUACAACUCUUAUAAAACGUGAUAUAUUAGAAUCAGGAAAAUAGGUUGCAAUAAGGCCUCCCUGCUAUUAGGUUCCAUUUACAUAUCCUUUUCAUCGACUAAGACUACUUUGCACAUGGUCAUGGUGAUAAGCCUAUGGUUCUCACUACUGGUUUUGUUCUUCUAAAUAAGACGUACAUAACUUGUGUAAUCGUUUUGUAUGUUAGCUAAUAUUUUCUUCUUUGCUGUGUUGCAUCAGACGAUAACUGAUGAGAUAUCCAUACUAAGCAUUUGGAUUAUUUAGUGCCAUUCUCCAUGCAGAGAACAGAGUUGAUUUUCUUCUUGAGUCUUGAGUACAAGUCCAAGCUUCAUUCAGUAAUCAGUAUACAUGCGUUCUCUAUCUGCAAUAAAUAUAAAUUACUAUAUUGCAAAAGUUUGCAAAGAAAACAUUACAGUGACUUUAUUUAAAGAUACAUGGUGGUAGAGUUUUACAUAUUAAUCAUGGGGCUUACAACUC